GGUUAAACGUAGCACUUGAGUAAGAUGUAUUGUGUUAAAAUUGUAUAACUGUGUGUAUAUGGUUUAAAUUUUGAUAAACUGUAACAUCAUUUGAGAAGAGAUUUUUGUGUAAACUCCAGUUGUCAGUCAGUAUACAGACUGAAAAUUGUGACCUUUCGAUCUCUCAAAAGGUGAUAUAGUGGUGUGUAAAAGUACAAGUAACAGAAAUGAGGUUGAAUCAUGGCAAGCAGCUUGAUCAUGGGGAUAGUAUACCCAGUGAUUCCCCAGUUUCUUUAAUGAAACAGAAAUAUGGCCCUUCAAAUAUUAUGUAUUCAAAGAAAUGGGCAAAGUUAACUAAGAAUAAUAUAAAUCCAUGGCCAGUGGUGGGGUCAUUAGACCCUUGGGUGUUGUUAAGUUUAAGAACAAUGUUGUUAAAUGGAAAAAGUCUUUCAAAACUGGAAUGGUCUGCAUAUAUGUUAUGGCAUGAGGAAAAGAAAAAGCAAGAAUGUUCCCCCCAGUCAGGUGCAACAGGAGGGGCAUGUAAAGGAGAGGGUACUGGUGUUGCCUGUUUGUAUCCCUCACUGUACAAAUUAAAAAGAAAUGUUAAAAAUCCUCCGCCUUAUAAUGAUGAUGAGGAUUUUUUGAUUAAUCAUGAGAUUAUGAAUCCCUCUUUGGGUCACCUCCCCUCAGCAGAUGAAUGAUGCACCACAGCUUGUACCCCAAAAUUUAGCUGGUGCCUCAGCCAUGUUGCAUUGAGGUGGUAGACCUGAGAGGGAUAUUAGACUGCCUAAAAGAUUUGCUGAUCAUGCUGUGGUUACUAUCAGGUUUAUCA
Non-coding RNA from Pelobates cultripes (western spadefoot toad), 811 nucleotides. The record is from the annotation of a GenBank genome assembly. Lineage: Eukaryota; Metazoa; Chordata; Amphibia; Anura; Pelobatidae.